UAACAGCUACAUAUAUAUAAACAAACAAUUACACUAAAAUAUAACCAAUGAUGGAAUACAAGAAUAUUGACAAAAAGGUUCAUACAUUUACAAAAGGGAAAAACCAAUAAAAAUUAUAUAUUACAUCCUACUAAGCAAUACCUAAUUUGGCUGUGAUGAGUGAUGGUGUAAAAGUCAAUGUAUGUAAAUGAAGGUGUGUUUGUGGGGCAAGCUCAUGAUGCAGAGCAUUCUGAGUUCUCAGUUUGUUGCUGCAUCACGUUAUAAGAUGAAAUACACUGUACUGUUCAUAGUUUCUUGUUAUAUCGGACUCACUCACGAAUAUAUCGCACCCCAGGGACAUACAAAGAAUAGUACUUAUAUGCCGCAGACCACGCAUAAUUCUACUC
This is a long non-coding RNA of Pieris brassicae (large cabbage white), 386 nucleotides long. RefSeq lists it as uncharacterized. The transcript is spliced from 3 exons. The record is from RefSeq and is a predicted model, not a curated record. NCBI's taxonomy places the organism in Eukaryota, Metazoa, Arthropoda, Insecta, Lepidoptera, Pieridae.